This 5193-nucleotide small RNA is filed under the name Pan troglodytes (chimpanzee). Its description in RNAcentral is "retained intron". The record is from RNAcentral. Lineage: Eukaryota; Metazoa; Chordata; Mammalia; Primates; Hominidae.
GGAGGCUGCUUGGCUUGGUUGCUGAACCAGGGCCCCAGGAGGCCGAAAUGGCCCCACACCUGCACCGUCCCACCUCUUUGUCCAGUCACCCCAGGGCCAGGUGAGGGCCCUGGCCACACGGCGUGCCUGUUCCUUCUUCCCUAUGCCCCGCUCAUGGGUCAGAGGGCCGGUGCUGGGGUCCAGACGGUGUCAACAGGGAUGGUCCCUGUCCUCCCCAGAGACAGAAGCCUGUGGCCCACGGAGGGUUUCUGGGCCCAGCCGAUCCUAGGGAGGGUCCCAUGGCCCUGCCCAUAGGUUCCUGGCCUCUCUCGGGGCCGUGGUGCCCUCACAGGUGGUGUCAGGAGGACGGGAAAGGCUGCUUGUCCCAGGGGCUCAUGUGGAGACCACCCCCUGCACGCAGCUGGGGCGCUCCUGCCUGUGUCCUCAGAAGCACUCGGCUUAGCUUUGCCCAUGUGCCUGGGCUGUGGGUGGCAGAGCCCGGCCAGCAUCCUCCGAUCUCCAAGGGUGCAUCUCUACUGGAGGCACCUCCUGGGCCUCUUGCUCCCCGCUUCCCAGAUCAUUAGGAUAUUUGGGGUCCAGAAGGGCCUCCCAGCCAUCCUGGGCCUUGUCCUCCGGGGCCACCAGUCCAGCCAGUGACAACCACAGCAUCCCCGGCCUGGAACGAGGCUGCCCCCAGCACGUUCCUCGUACUCCUGUCCAGGGACAGGAGGGGCUGCCCCUGCCACCGAGUCCCCUUCUCCAGGACCUGGGGCCUGUGGGUGUGAGGCAGGUGUUCUUGGAAGGGGUCACUCUCCAGGCACCCGGCGGCCAAGGCUUGUGGCUGGAGCAGCUCCCGCUGCUGGGUCGGCGUCGGGCCCCGUGUGGCCGGAGAGGAGCUGAAGGGUCACUUAGCUUCGGGCUGGGGCGAGGACAGGAGACACCCCAGAGAGGUAUGCCAGGCCUCCUUCCUGCGCCCCACUCUCGGCAGAAGUAGAGGUCACAGGCUGUGCUGAGGCCCCAUGGUGCUGCCCCCAUGAUGCCAGGGUGAGGCUGGCGUUGGAAGCAGGUGUCUGACCUGCAUGGUGUCACCGUGGCCACAUCAGAGCUCCAGCCCCAGAGCCGCCCACCCUCGGUCCUUGGCUGUGGUUUCCCUGGGCUGGAGGAGCCUGCCGUUGUGUUGGCCACACGACCACAGGACCUGCCACCCCCGACGUGGGCUCUGCCUGGGCCCCCACUGGACAGGGACCCCUUGGAGCUCCUCUGGCCACCAAGUCCUCGCCCAUUCCAGAAUCGGCCUUCUGGAGCCUCUUGCUGUCCCUGAUGCGGGCUGGGCCUUGCCAAGGGCUUUUUUUCCUGCGCUGGGAACAGGGUGGAUUUGCUGGGCUCACUCCCCUUAGAGACGCUGCAGGUGCGGUGGGUUAGGCCCAAGGGCGUUAAGAGAGGAGGCUGGGGUGGGGCUGGGGCCUGGCAGGGGGUCUGGCAGCCCUGGGCCUCCCACCUCCUGUCAGGACCAAAAAAGGCAACGCGCCCCUCCUGACCUGUACCCCUGAGUGAACCCAACCUUGCAACCCAGGAGUGUCAGGGCCUGAGGGGAGGGAGACCUGGCUCCUGGGCGCCGUGCCCGUAAGGAGGUGGCCACCUGCAGGGCAUUCCUGGCAGAGGCUUCAUCUGGCCAGGUAGGAGGCUGGGUGGCCGAGCCCCAAAUCUGGGUGUGUUCUCUGCCUGGCGGUGGGUCCUGCCCCAGGCACCUUCUCCUCUGGACUGGCUGGGCAGGGACAAUGGGCCUGGCUGCGAGGAGGGGGCCUGGGCUGCCUUCUGCAUUGCCUGCAGCCCCUGCCUGCUGAGGGAUAGGGGAGUGGGCAGGCAGUGAGAGACACUGACAGCUGUCCCGAGGGUACAGGGCCCUGUCUGGGUGGCCGGGCCCAUAUCUCGGGCCCACAGUGCGCCCCCCACCCUUGGACGGCGCCUUCUCCCUCCCCAGGUGCGUGCUGCCCAGCCAGGGAGCGUGGGGGAGUUCGGGAGGGCUGGCCUACACGCCCUGGUCCAGCUGUCCCAGGUGGGGUGCUGGGCUUCAGCCCUCAGCCCAGGGCCUAGGAAGCCAACUUGAUCCUCCCCACACAGCAGCCAGGUUCAAAUGCAGGUCCCGUAACGGAAGUGCUGCUGUGCAACCCAGAUUGGGGGGCAGGAGCCAGCAGGGCCCCCCACCCUCUUCUCGCACCACACUGGGGAGGCAGCAUUGGUUCCAGUUCCGGUUCCUGGGCUGCUCUCUCAACCCCGGCCUACAGCGGGGCCCGCUCUGUGCCUUCUGAUGCCACUCCCACCCCACGCCGAGUCCCAGAGGCUUUGGGAGCGGGUGAAGGCGGUGGGUGGCGGGUGGCAGGUGCAGGCGGUGGGUGGUGGGUGUGGCAGGUGGCGGGCCCCACCGCAGGUGUCAUCCCUGCGAAGCACCUGUCGCCAGCACUCAGAGCACUCAUGAGGUGCACAGUCCCCAUGUGGCCUCCUUAGUCUCCGUCCUGUGUCAUGGAAGAGGUAACUGAGGCACAGAAAACUCACCAGGCCAGGCUGGGAUGUGAGGUCCCUUGCUGCUCAGCCCUGGCAGUCAGCAACCCUCCAUCUUCCCAGCUGGGCGGCCCGUGGUGGGUUCGGCACCCAGGACCCUCCGGGGUCUUGGGCUGUGGCGAGUGUGCAGGCACCCACCCGGUGUCUCUCUCCCCCCAAGGCAUCUACAUCCUCAUCGCUGUGGGCGCUGUCAUGAUGUUCGUCGGCUUCCUGGGCUGCUACGGGGCCAUCCAGGAAUCCCAGUGCCUGCUGGGGACGUUCUUCACCUGCCUGGUCAUCCUGUUUGCCUGUGAGGUGGCCGCCGGCAUCUGGGGCUUUGUCAACAAGGACCAGGUGAGCCUGGGUGUGCAGGGACAGGGCGGGGUGGGUGACGGGGGCACCCUCCUCUCCUGUCGCGGGUGGGGGUUGGGCUGACUCAUGGCUUGUGGGAGCUCUUUGGGCUCCUCCUGGGUCCCACUUGCCAGGAGGAUCUCCAGGGGCUUUAUGGAGGAGGCAGCAUUGGGGCUGAGCACAAGGCCAGCCUCCCGUGUCCCAGCACUCCCGGGGCAGCUGAGAGUGCAGAGUCCUUGUCCUCUGGGGUCUGGCCUCGAAGCCACCCUGCCCAGGGAGAGCCUGGGAAAAGUGCGUCCGCCUGGGGCGGGGCGGGGUGGGGGCAAGGAGGGGGAGGUUCCCCCUGUGCAUGUGACCGCACCCCUCCCCCAGAUCGCCAAGGACGUGAAGCAGUUCUAUGACCAGGCCCUACAGCAGGCCGUGGUGGAUGAUGACGCCAACAACGCCAAGGCCGUGGUGAAGACCUUCCACGAGACGGUGCGGCCCCGGGGGGCGAGGGCGGGGAGCAGGGCCCCGGGAACCCGGCGGGGUGUGUCUCGUCCUGGAUGAAUCCUGCCUCCGCCCAGACCUCAGGAGCAGGAGGUGCCCUUGGGACCUCCAGGACCCCUGGGCUCAACUGGUCCUCGGGUGGGAACCUAGUGGGCCAGGCUGGCCCAGGGUGCAGAAAGCUCUGAGCAGCGCAGCUGAGGAGGAAGGCUGGCCCCUGGAUGCGUUCUGCAGUGGGGAGCGCUGUGUACCCCUGGCCACCUCCCCAUGGGCACAUCCAGGGCUGACCUUGCACCCCUGCUCUCUGCAGCUUGACUGCUGCGGCUCCAGCACACUGACUGCUUUGACCACCUCAGUGCUCAAGAACAAUUUGUGUCCCUCGGGCAGCAACAUCAUCAGCAACCUCUUCAAGGUGCGCGAGGCCGGCGGGGCCGCACCUGACCCCCCGCAUGUCCCGCCCCUGGGUGGGGUCCUAGGGGUGGGCAGGUCACACGGCAGCCCCACAGGGAGCGACCACACUGGGUGGCAUGGCCCCUGUCAGGGCUGGUCUGCUGGGAGGGUUGGGGUGGGACCGCAUCUGGCCCACGAGGAAGGCAGGCGCCCUGUGCUGCGCAUUCCAGGUGAAGAAGGUGGAGGCUCUGGGGGGUGGGAACUCACCUGCAUCCCCAGCUCCACAUGUGCACUCGUGGGUGUGGACGCCCCUGACAGCCUGUAGCUGGCAGGGCCUGCAGGCCGUAUAGUGCCCUGUGGAAGUUUCCUGCUGAGGCCUCAGUGGAAGUCGUCAUCAGUGAUGCUUUAGGGGUCUAGUGACACCAAUAACCGUGAUCUCAGUGGAAAAGGGCACAGUGUGUCCCAGGCAUUUCGCGUUUAUGUUAAAACGGGUGGAAGAUAGAAAGCCGGCAGAGGCCGGGCUGCUGCACCCGCCUGUUCCGAGGUGGGUAGGGGGUGGGGGGCUGUUCCCAGGAUUCCCCUCUACGCUUUCUGUGGUGACCACGGAUUACUGCGUGACAACGGGAAGCCGGGAGCCGAGGCCCGGUCCCUGACCACGCGUGCCUGGCCACCCCUGCAGGAGGACUGCCACCAGAAGAUCGAUGACCUCUUCUCCGGGAAGCUGUACCUCAUCGGCAUUGCUGCCAUCGUGGUCGCCGUGAUCAUGGUGAGCGGGCGGGGGCGGAGGGCCUGUUCUCUGGGCUGCCCCUUCCGCGGGGCCUUGUGCUGACUGCGCCCCCCACCACCCUCCUGCAGAUCUUCGAGAUGAUCCUGAGCAUGGUGCUGUGCUGUGGCAUCCGGAACAGCUCCGUGUACUGAGGCCCCGCAGCUCUGGCCACAGGGACCUCUGCAGUGCCCCCUAAGUGACCCGGACACUUCCGAGGGGGCCAUCACCGCCUGUGUAUAUAACGUUUCCGGUAUUACUCUGCUACAUGUAGCCUUUUUACUUUCGGGGUUUUGUUUUUGUUCUGAACUUUCCUGUUACCUUUUCAGGGCUGACGUCACAUGUAGGUGGCGUGUGUGAGUGGAGACGGGCCUGGGUCUUGGGGACUGGAGGGCGGGAGUCCUUCUGCCCCUGGGGUCCCAGGGUGCUCUGCCUGCUCAGCCAGGCCUCUCCUGGGAGCCACUCGCCCAGAGACUCAGCUUGGCCAACCUGGGGGGCUGUGUCCACCCAGCCCGCCCGUCCCGUGGGCUGCACAGCUCACCUUGUUCCCUCCUGCCCCGGUUCGAGAGCCGAGUCUGUGGGCACUCUCUGCCUUCAUGCACCUGUCCUUUCUAACACGUCACCUUCAACUGUAAUCACAACAUCCUGACUCCGUCAUUUAAUAAAGAAGGAACAUCAGGCAUGCU